Molecule: ribosomal RNA, 495 nt
Filed under: uncultured bacterium
Lineage: Bacteria
Description: bacterial SSU rRNA
Rfam family: Bacterial small subunit ribosomal RNA
Source: RNAcentral
GGCUCAGGACUGAACGCUAGCGGCUACGGGCUUAAUACAUGCAAGUCUGGGGCAGCAUGAGUAGCAAUACUUGAUGGCGACGGCAAACGGGUGAGGAACACGUACACAACCUUCCUUCAAGCGGGGAAUAGCCCAGAGAAAUUUGGAUUAAUACCCCAUAAUAUAUUUGAUAAGGCAUCUUAUUAAUAUUAAAGCUUCGGCACUUGAUGAUGGGUGUGCGGCUGAUUAGAUAGUUCGGCGGGGUAACGGCCCACCAAGUCUACGAUCAGUAGCUGAUGUGAGAGCAUGAUCAGCCACACGGGCACUGAGACACGGGCCCGUACUCCUACGGGAGGCAGCAGUAAGGAAUAUUGGACAAUGGACGAAAGUCUGAUCCAGCCAUGCCGCGUGAAGGAUUAAGGUCCUCUGGAUUGUAAACUUCUUUAUAUGGGACGAAAAAAGGGCAUUCUUGUUCACUUGACGGUACCAUAUGAAUAAGCACCGGCUAACUCCGUG